Molecule: ribosomal RNA, 497 nt
Filed under: uncultured bacterium
Lineage: Bacteria
Description: partial 16S ribosomal RNA
Rfam family: Bacterial small subunit ribosomal RNA
Source: RNAcentral
GAUGAACGCUGGCGGCGUGCCUAAUACAUGCAAGUCGAGCGAACAGACGAGGAGCUUGCUCCUCUGACGUUAGCGGCGGACGGGUGAGUAACACGUGGAUAACCUACCUAUAAGACUGGGAUAACUUCGGGAAACCGGAGCUAAUACCGGAUAACAUGUUGAACCGCAUGGUUCAACAGUGAAAGACGGUCUUGCUGUCACUUAUAGAUGGAUCCGCGCCGCAUUAGCUAGUUGGUAAGGUAACGGCUUACCAAGGCAACGAUGCGUAGCCGACCUGAGAGGGUGAUCGGCCACACUGGAACUGAGACACGGUCCAGGCGCCUACGGGAGGCAGCAGUAGGGAAUCUUCCGCAGUGGGCGAAAGCCUGACGGAGCGACGCCACGUGAGUGGAGGAGGUCUUCGGAUCGUAAAGCUCUGUUAUUAGGGAAGAACAAAUGUGUAAGUAACUAUGCACGUCUUGACGGUACCUGAUCAGAAAGCCACGGCUAACUACGUG